RNAcentral lists this ribosomal RNA (492 nucleotides) under uncultured bacterium. RNAcentral's name for it is "partial 16S ribosomal RNA". It matches the Rfam family "Bacterial small subunit ribosomal RNA", at positions 29 to 507 of the family's 1533-position model. The record is from RNAcentral.
AGUGAACGCUGGCGGUAGGCCUAACACAUGCAAGUCGAACGGCAGCACAGUAAGAGCUUGCUCUUACGGGUGGCGAGUGGCGGACGGGUGAGGAAUACAUCGGAAUCUACUUUUUCGUGGGGGAUAACGUAGGGAAACUUACGCUAAUACCGCAUACGACCUACGGGUGAAAGCAGGGGAUCUUCGGACCUUGCGCGAUUGAAUGAGCCGAUGUCGGAUUAGCUAGUUGGCGGGGUAAAGGCCCACCAAGGCGACGAUCCGUAGCUGGUCUGAGAGGAUGAUCAGCCAAACUGGAACUGAGACACGGUCCAGACUCCUACGGGAGGCAGCAGUGGGGAAUAUUGGACAAUGGGCGCAAGCCUGAUCCAGCCAUACCGCGUGGGUGAAGAAGGCAUUCGGGUUGUAAAGCCCUUUUGUUGGGAAAGAAAAGCAGCAGGUUAAUACCCCGCUGUUCUGACGGUACCCAAAGAAUAAGCACCGGCUAACUUCGUG